AUUGAACGCUGGCGGCAGGCCUAACACAUGCAAGUCGAGCGGAUGAAGGGAGCUUGCUCCUGGAUUCAGCGGCGGACGGGUGAGUAAUGCCUAGGAAUCUGCCUGGUAGUGGGGGAUAACGUCCGGAAACGGGCGCUAAUACCGCAUACGUCCUGAGGGAGAAAGUGGGGAUCCUUGGGACUUACGCCUACCGGUUGAGCCAGGUUCGGAUUAGCUAGUUGGUGGGGUAAGGGCCUACCAAGGCGACGAUCCGUAACUGGUCUGAGAGGAUGAUCAGUCACACUGGAACUGAGACACGGUCCAGGCUCCUACGGGAGGCAGCAGUGGGGAAUAUUGGACAAUGGGCGAAAGCCUGAUCCAGCCAUGCCGCGUGUGUGAAGAAGGUCUUCGGAUUGUAAAGCACUUUAAGUUGGGAGGAAGGGCAGUAAGUUAAUACCUUGCUGUUUUGACGUUACCAACAGAAUAAGCACCGGCUAACUUCGUG
Molecule: ribosomal RNA, 484 nt
Filed under: uncultured bacterium
Lineage: Bacteria
Description: partial 16S ribosomal RNA
Rfam family: Bacterial small subunit ribosomal RNA
Source: RNAcentral